Molecule: ribosomal RNA, 254 nt
Filed under: uncultured bacterium
Lineage: Bacteria
Description: partial 16S ribosomal RNA
Rfam family: Bacterial small subunit ribosomal RNA
Source: RNAcentral
UACGUAGGGGCAAGCGUUGUCCGGAUUAUUGGGCGUAAAGAGCGUGUAGGCGGCCACACAGGUCUGCUGUGAAAACUCGAGGCUCAACCUCGAGCUGUCGGUGGAAACCGUGUGGCUAGAGUCCGGAAGAGGAGAGUGGAAUUCCCGGGUGUAGCGGUGAAAUGCGCAGAUAUCGGGAAGAACACCCGUGGCGAAGGCGGCUCUCUGGGACGGUACUGGACGCUGAGACGCGAAAGCGUGGGGAGCGAACAGGG